RNAcentral lists this ribosomal RNA (253 nucleotides) under uncultured bacterium. Its description in RNAcentral is "partial 16S ribosomal RNA". It matches the Rfam family "Bacterial small subunit ribosomal RNA", at positions 524 to 776 of the family's 1533-position model. The record is from RNAcentral.
UACAGAGGUCUCAAGCGUUGUUCGGAUUCAUUGGGCGUAAAGGGUGCGUAGGCGGCGCGGUAAGUCGGGUGUGAAAUCUCGGGGCUUAACUCCGAAACUGCAUUCGAUACUACCGUGCUUGAGGACUGGAGAGGAGGCUGGAAUUUACGGUGUAGCGGUGAAAUGCGUAGAUAUCGUAAGGAAGACCAGUGGCGAAGGCGGGUCUCUGGACAGUUCCUGACGCUGAGGCACGAAGGCCAGGGGAGCAAACGGG